UACGAAGGGGGCUAGCGUUGUUCGGAAUUACUGGGCGUAAAGCGCACGUAGGCGGAUUGUUAAGUCAGGGGUGAAAUCCCGCGGCUCAACCGUGGAACUGCCUCAGAUACUGACGGCCUCGAGGGAGAUAGGGGCGAGCGGAACUAAUGGUGGAGCGGUGAAAUGCGUUGAUAUCAUUAGGAACUCCGGUGGCGAAGGCGGCUCGCUGGAUCUCUUCUGACGCUGAGGCGCGAAAGCUAGGGGAGCAAACGGG
Molecule: ribosomal RNA, 253 nt
Filed under: uncultured bacterium
Lineage: Bacteria
Description: partial 16S ribosomal RNA
Rfam family: Bacterial small subunit ribosomal RNA
Source: RNAcentral